RNAcentral lists this ribosomal RNA (1492 nucleotides) under Gerrhopilus ceylonicus (Jan's worm snake). Its description in RNAcentral is "16S ribosomal RNA". It matches the Rfam family "Bacterial large subunit ribosomal RNA". The record is from RNAcentral. Lineage: Eukaryota; Metazoa; Chordata; Lepidosauria; Squamata; Gerrhopilidae.
GCCAAAACCUAGUCCAACAAACCUUUCAAACACGCUCUUACUUAAAACAAAACAUUUGACAAAACUAGUAGAUGCGAUCAAAAUUUAAAAUGUGACACGAUAGAUAUAUGUACCGCAAGGGAGAGGUGAAAAAUCAUAACACUUAAGCACAACAAAGCAAAGAUUAAAUCUUGUACCUUUUGCAUCAUGGUUUAGCAAGAAAUGAGGGACAAGCAGAACCAAAGUCCAAAUACCCGAAACCAAGUGAGCUACUUUAAAGCAGCCAAGAGAGCGAACCCUUCUCUGUAGCAAAAGAGUGGGAAGACUUAAAAGUAGAGGUGAAACGCCAACCGAACUUGGCAAUAGCUGGUUGUUCAAAUAGUGGAUUUAAGUCCUACUUUAAUUAUAAUAUCGAGAAAAAUAAAAUGAACUACUGAAAUAAUUAAAGGAAUUUAUUAGAGGGACAGCUCUAAUAACACGGGAGACAGCCCCAAUCUGAAAGUAAACAUAAUUAGCUCAACUGUAGGCCUCAAAGCAGCAAUCACCAAAACAGCGUCCCAGCGUACAAAAUAAAAGAUUUCUCUCCUAAUUAUUAUCUUCAGAUAUCCUAAGAACAACUCUAUAUAAAUAGAAGUAAUUAUGCUAAAACUAAUAAUAAGAAUUUUUUUUCUAAAAACACACUCAUCGCUCAGGACGAAUGACAAUUAACAGACCAAAAGAGGAAAUAAUUACUCACAUUACAUAUAUUAUUAAUCCUGUGAAACCAACCAUGGGGGUGUAGAAAUUAUAAUUAUAACUUGUAAAAGGAACUCGGCAAACUUAUAACUCCAACUGUUUACCAAAAACAUAGCCUUUAGCAAAAAACUAGUAUUAAAGGUACUGCCUGCCCAGUGAAACUAUUUUAACGGCCGCGGUAUCCUAACCGUGCAAAGGUAGCGAAAUCAUUUGUUUACUAAUUAUAGACCAGUAUGAAUGGCCACAUGAGAGUUAAGCUGUCUCUUACAACAAAUUUAUAAAACUGAUCUUUCGGUACAAAAGCCGAAAUAUAAGUAUAAGACGAGAAGACCCUGUGAAGCUUAAAAAAUUCCUCUAAACAAAUUAGAGGAUACUUUUAGUUGGGGCGACUUUGGAAUACAGACAACCUUCCAAAAUUUUAUUAAGGUUAACAGACCUUUAUAUGACCCAGUAAAUCUGAUUAAUGAACCAAGUUACUCCAGGGAUAACAGCGCAAUCCUCUUCCAGAGCCCGUAUCAAAAAGAGGGUUUACGACCUCGAUGUUGGAUCAGGACACCCCAAUGGCGCAGCCGCUAUUAAAGGUUCGUUUGUUCAACGAUUAACAGUCCUACGUGAUCUGAGUUCAGACCGGAGAAAUCCAGGUCGGUUUCUAUCUAUAAACUAAAAUCCCUAGUACGAAAGGACCGGGAUAUUAAAGCCUAUACUCUAAGCACGCUUUAAUAUAAAAAGAAAAUAAUUAAUCUUUUUAUACUAGUAUAAUAUUACCCCUAGUCGGGGU